GGUCGGGAUAGCUCAGCUGG
RNAcentral lists this transfer RNA (20 nucleotides) under Abrus precatorius (Indian licorice). Its description in RNAcentral is "partial tRNA-Phe". Lineage: Eukaryota; Viridiplantae; Streptophyta; Magnoliopsida; Fabales; Fabaceae. The record is from RNAcentral. RNAcentral also lists the same sequence under 17 other names.